GCGGGAGAUCUCGAACUUCGGUUCGAGAGGAGACCGGCGGAUGGGUGAGUAACGCGUAGGUAAUCUGCCUUCAGGACGGGGACAACCCACCGAAAGGUGAGCUAAUACCGGAUGAUGCAGCGGGGCCGCAUGGCCACAGUUGUUAAAUCCUUCGGGAGCCUGGAGAUGAACCUGCGUGCCAUUAGCUAGUUGGUAGGGUCAAAGCCUACCAAGGCGAUGAUGGCUAGGGGGUCUGAGAGGAUGAUCCCCCACACUGGGACUGAGACACGGCCCAGACUCCUACGGGAGGCAGCAGUGAGGAAUCUUGCGCAAUGGGGGCAACCCUGACGCAGCCAUGCCGCGUGCUGGAAGACGGCCCUAUGGGUUGUAAACAGCUUUUACUGGGGAAGAACCUGGACCUUUCGAGGACCACUGACGGUACCCAGUGAAUAAGCACCGGCUAACUCCGUGCCAGCAGCCGCGGUAAUACGGAGGGUGCAAGCGUUGUCCGGAAUCAUUGGGUGUAAAGGGUGUGCAGGCGGAAGUCUAAGUCGGAGGUGAAAUCUUGCCGCUUAACGGUAAAAGGGCCUUCGAAACUGGAUUUCUUGAGUUCGGAAGAGGUUGGUGGAAUUCGUGGUGUAGCGGUGAAAUGCAUAGAUAUCACGAAGAACACCGGUGGCGAAGGCGGCCAACUGGUCCGAUACUGACGCUGAGACACGAGAGCGUGGGGAGCGAAAGGGAUUAGAUACCCCUGUAGUCUUAGCUGUAAACGAUGGAUACU
RNAcentral lists this ribosomal RNA (760 nucleotides) under uncultured bacterium. RNAcentral's name for it is "bacterial SSU rRNA". It matches the Rfam family "Bacterial small subunit ribosomal RNA", at positions 64 to 817 of the family's 1533-position model. The record is from RNAcentral.